RNAcentral lists this ribosomal RNA (1355 nucleotides) under uncultured bacterium. RNAcentral describes it as "bacterial SSU rRNA". It matches the Rfam family "Bacterial small subunit ribosomal RNA", at positions 28 to 1381 of the family's 1533-position model. The record is from RNAcentral.
GAUGAACGCUAGCGACAGGCUUAACACAUGCAAGUCGAGGGGCAGCGGGGGUAGCAAUACCCGCCGGCGACCGGCGCACGGGUGAGUAACGCGUAUGCAACUUACCUAUCAGAGGGGGAUAACCCGGCGAAAGUCGGACUAAUACCGCAUGAAGCAGGGAUCCCGCAUGGGAAUAUUUGCUAAAGAUUCAUCGCUGAUAGAUAGGCAUGCGUUCCAUUAGGCAGUUGGCGGGGUAACGGCCCACCAAACCGACGAUGGAUAGGGGUUCUGAGAGGAAGGUCCCCCACAUUGGUACUGAGACACGGACCAAACUCCUACGGGAGGCAGCAGUGAGGAAUAUUGGUCAAUGGCCGAGAGGCUGAACCAGCCAAGUCGCGUGAGGGAUGAAGGUUCUAUGGAUCGUAAACCUCUUUUAUAAGGGAAUAAAGUGCGGGACGUGUCCCGUUUUGUAUGUACCUUAUGAAUAAGGAUCGGCUAACUCCGUGCCAGCAGCCGCGGUAAUACGGAGGAUCCGAGCGUUAUCCGGAUUUAUUGGGUUUAAAGGGUGCGUAGGCGGCCUUUUAAGUCAGCGGUGAAAGUCUGUGGCUCAACCAUAGAAUUGCCGUUGAAACUGGGGGGCUUGAGUAUGUUUGAGGCAGGCGGAAUGCGUGGUGUAGCGGUGAAAUGCAUAGAUAUCACGCAGAACCCCGAUUGCGAAGGCAGCCUGCCAAGCCAUGACUGACGCUGAUGCACGAAAGCGUGGGGAUCAAACAGGAUUAGAUACCCUGGUAGUCCACGCAGUAAACGAUGAUCACUAGCUGUUUGCGAUACACUGUAAGCGGCACAGCGAAAGCGUUAAGUGAUCCACCUGGGGAGUACGCCGGCAACGGUGAAACUCAAAGGAAUUGACGGGGGCCCGCACAAGCGGAGGAACAUGUGGUUUAAUUCGAUGAUACGCGAGGAACCUUACCCGGGUUUGAACGCAUUCGGACCGAGGUGGAAACACCUUUUCUAGCAAUAGCCGUUUGCGAGGUGCUGCAUGGUUGUCGUCAGCUCGUGCCGUGAGGUGUCGGCUUAAGUGCCAUAACGAGCGCAACCCUUGCCACUAGUUACUAACAGGUAAAGCUGAGGACUCUGGUGGGACUGCCAGCGUAAGCUGCGAGGAAGGCGGGGAUGACGUCAAAUCAGCACGGCCCUUACAUCCGGGGCGACACACGUGUUACAAUGGCGUGGACAAAGGGAAGCCACCUGGCGACAGGGAGCGAAUCCCCAAACCACGUCUCAGUUCGGAUCGGAGUCUGCAACCCGACUCCGUGAAGCUGGAUUCGCUAGUAAUCGCGCAUCAGCCAUGGCGCGGUGAAUACGUUCCCGGGCCU